GGGUGAGUAACACGUGAGCAACCUGCCCUCCACUUCGGGAUAAGCCUUGGAAACGGGGUCUAAUACCGGAUAUGAGCACUCAUCGCAUGGUGGGUGUUGGAAAGUUUUUCGGUGGGGGAUGGGCUCGCGGCCUAUCAGCUUGUUGGUGGGGUGAUGGCCUACCAAGGCGUCGACGGGUAGCCGGCCUGAGAGGGCGACCGGCCACACUGGGACUGAGACACGGCCCAGACUCCUACGGGAGGCAGCAGUGGGGAAUAUUGCACAAUGGGCGAAAGCCUGAUGCAGCGACGCCGCGUGAGGGAUGACGGCCUUCGGGUUGUAAACCUCUUUCAGCAGGGAAGAAGGCCUUCGGGUGGACGGUACCUGCAGAAGAAGCGCCGGCUAACUACGUGCCAGCAGCCGCGGUAAUACGUAGGGCGCAAGCGUUGUCCGGAAUUAUUGGGCGUAAAGAGCUCGUAGGCGGUCUGUCGCGUCUGGUGUGAAAUCCCAUGGCUCAACUGUGGGCGUGCAUCGGGUACGGGCAGACUAGAGUGCGGUAGGGGAGACUGGAAUUCCUGGUGUAGCGGUGGAAUGCGCAGAUAUCAGGAGGAACACCGAUGGCGAAGGCAGGUCUCUGGGCCGCAACUGACGCUGAGGAGCGAAAGCAUGGGGAGCGAACAGGAUUAGAUACCCUGGUAGUCCAUGCCGUAAACGUUGGGCACUAGGUGUGGGGCUCAUUCCACGAGUUCCGUGCCGCAGCUAACGCAUUAAGUGCCCCGCCUGGGGAGUACGGCCGCAAGGCUAAAACUCAAAGGAAUUGACGGGGGCCCGCACAAGCGGCGGAGCAUGCGGAUUAAUUCGAUGCAACGCGAAGAACCUUACCAAGGCUUGACAUACACCGGAA
Molecule: ribosomal RNA, 883 nt
Filed under: Isoptericola salitolerans
Lineage: Bacteria; Bacillati; Actinomycetota; Actinomycetes; Micrococcales; Promicromonosporaceae
Description: bacterial SSU rRNA
Rfam family: Bacterial small subunit ribosomal RNA
Source: RNAcentral